This is a long non-coding RNA of Paramisgurnus dabryanus, 802 nucleotides long. RefSeq lists it as uncharacterized. Lineage: Eukaryota; Metazoa; Chordata; Actinopteri; Cypriniformes; Cobitidae. The record is from RefSeq and is a predicted model, not a curated record.
AAUCAAACUGCCGGUGUAACAUGAUGGACUACGUGAGAUCUUUGUUUUGCCUUGUGGAGCUGUAUAUAAUAAAGCGAGGUAUUUUUAAUCUGAACUAACACAUAGAUUUCACUCGUUGUUCUACAACACUCGAUUUAUCAGAUGGAUUGUUACUGUUUUCUGUGAAGACAUUUUUUGUUUUUAUGGACAUUACUAACUGAGAACAGCAGAGACAGAGGCAUGAGGGGAUCAAAGCACAUAAUGAAUAUGAUGAAAGCAACGCAAGCUGCAAUAAUGCAGGCCCCUUGUAUAAACACUGUCCUGCUAUCGCAGGAGGACUGGACAUGCUUUACGAGUCCAUAAACAAAAUAUCUCGGUCCUCACCCGGGCACUGCCAUAACGAUUUACGAUUCAGAGUGGAAGCAUCUCUCAGGAAUGCAACUUUAAGGACUAAGAUCUGUGAGGACGUGAUUUAACGUGCCCCGGAGAUAACCCCGGACGUAAACAUGUCAACGUGACGUGGGCGGUCCGGUUAAAAGUUCAACCCAACGUGGGCGGUCCGGUUAAAAGUUCAGUGCUACGUGGGCUGUCGGUUCAAAAGUUCUGAGCAGCGCGGGAGGACGGUUCAAAAGUUUAGAGCAACGUGGGCGGUCGGUUCGAAAGUUUAGAGCAGCGUGGGAGGUCGGUUUAAAAGUUCACAACGUGGGAGGUCCGGUCAAAAGUUCACGAUGUGGGAGGUCCGGUCAAAGGUUAGCCCCUCCCCGGAGGUCAAAGGUUCACGACGUGGGUGGUCCGGUCAAAGGUCAGCCCCUCCCUCGCAGGU